This 1488-nucleotide long non-coding RNA is filed under the name Zonotrichia albicollis (white-throated sparrow). RNAcentral's name for it is "lncRNA (ENSZALG00000002023.1)". Lineage: Eukaryota; Metazoa; Chordata; Aves; Passeriformes; Passerellidae. The record is from RNAcentral.
ACCAGUGAGUCCCCAGGUGCUGGGAAUCCUCAGGGACUUCCGGGGCACCCUGUCCAUCAAGGACCUCAGGUGGGACCAGUAUAAACCAGUAUGGACCAGUACAAACCAGUAUGGACCCAAAAAUCCCCGUGAAAAUCCGUUAAAGUGCAUAGAAACCAGUAUAGACCAGUAUAGACCAGUAUGGGAUUAGGACUAGGAGUGACUGGGAGGGACUUGGAGCAGGCCAGGACCAGUAUGGACCAGUACAAACCAGUAUGGAUCCAAAAAUCCCCAUAGAAAUCCAUAGAAACCAGUAUGGACCAGUACAAACCAGUAUGGGGGCAAAAAUCCCCAUAGAAAUCCAUAAAAGUGCAUAGAAACCAGUAUAGACCAGUAUGGACUGGGACCAGUAUGGGGCUGGAAAUGCACCAGAACCAGUACAGACCAGUAUAAACCAGUAUAGACCAGUAUGGACCAGUACAAACCAGUAUGAACCCAAAAAUCCCCAUAGAAAUCCAUUAAAAUACAUAGAAACCAGUAUAGACCAGUAUAAACCAGUAUAGACCAGUACAGACCAGUAUAGACCAGUAUAAACCAGUAUGGACCCAAAAAUCCCCAUAGAAAUCCAUUAAAGUACAUAGAAACCAGCAUAGACCAGUAUAAACCAGUAUAAACCAGUAUAAACCAGUAUAAACCAGUAUAAACCAGUAUAAACCAGUAAGGGACCAUUAAACCGCCUUAAACCAGUGUCAGUGCAGAGCUGCAGUGGGCAGUGGUCACUCAAUGGUCACUCAGUGGUCACUCAGGGGUCACUGUGGUCACUCAGUGCUCACUCCCAUGGCGUCAAUGCUCACUCCCAUGGGUCAGUGGUCACUCAGUGGUCACUCAAUGGUCACUGUGGUCACUCAGGUCACUCAGUGGUCACUCCCGUGUCCAUCUGUCCAGCCAGAUGACCAGCAUCACACAGACCGACACCAUCAGCCCACUGACCAUUGCCAGGGGUCACUCCCAUGAGUUCAGUGCUCACUGUGGUCACUCAAUGGUCACUCCCAUGGGGUCAAUGGUCACUGUGGUCACUCAGUGGUCACUCAGCGGUCACUCUGCCCCCCAGCCAGAUGACCAGCAUCACGCAGACCGACAUCAUCAGCCCGCUGACCAUUGCCAGUGACCAUUGCCAUGCGUUCAAUGCUGGGUCGGUGGUUGUGACUAUGGGGUCAAUGGUCACUGUGGUCACUCAGUGGUCACUCCCAUGGGUCAGUGGUCACUCAGUGGUCACUCUGCCCCCCAGCCAGAUGACCAGCAUCACGCAGACCGACAUCAUCAGCACACUGACCAUUGCCAUCAGUUCCGUGCUCACUGCCAUGGGGUCAAUGGUCACUGUGGUCACUCAGUGCUCACUCCCAUGGGGUCAAUGGUCACUGUGGUCACUCAGUGGUCACUCAGUGGUCACUCAGUGGUCACUCCCUGUCCAGCCAGAUGACCAGCAUCACGCAGACCGACAUCAUCAGC